Molecule: ribosomal RNA, 253 nt
Filed under: uncultured bacterium
Lineage: Bacteria
Description: partial 16S ribosomal RNA
Rfam family: Bacterial small subunit ribosomal RNA
Source: RNAcentral
UACGUAGGUGGCGAGCGUUGUCCGGAUUUACUGGGCGUAAAGAGCGCGCAGGCGGCUGGUCAAGUCCGAUGUGAAAGCUCCCGGCUUAACUGGGAAAUUGCAUCGGAAACUGAUCGGCUGGAAGGUGGGAGAGGGUAGCGGAAUUCCCAGUGUAGUGGUGAAAUGCGUAGAUAUUGCUCGGAAGGCCAGAGGCGAAGGCGGGUAACUGGCACGCAACUGACACUGAGGCACGAAAGCGUGGGGAGCAAACAGG